AUGAGGGCAAGCAUUGCAACACAACACAUGUUUCAGAAACAUGGCUCCAGUUGCAUAAAUCGCCAGGAAGUGCAUGCCCGGUCUGAGAGCUCGUCGUCGUCGUGCUGGAGUAGAGACAGCAGCUCAGCGUGCUGGGUUGGAGGAGUCGCGGCAACUCCGGCAGGCGGCGGCACUCCAUGGCCUCGCUCAGGCCAUGGCGGGGCAGCGGUGCUAUCUCGGUGGACCUUUGCAACAAGGUCCUUGUUGCAAAGCCCCGGAUCACAACAAACUAACUGUUGCAAAGACUCAUCUCACUAUAUAAACACUAGCAAAAAGGACGAAGCUGCAAGAAAGCAGGAGCAGAAAAAUAGCCAGCUGUGGAGUGAGGCCGCCAUCAGUAAGCAGUUUGUGGGAGCACACGACGGCGGCCGUGUCAUCACACCUGAGAAUAACUUUCAGCUUGCGAUGGUGAACCUCUUCUUCAGUGUUGAGGUGCCGCUCAUUGCAAAUGAACAUGAGGACUCUCUGCUUAGGCAGCUGGCACUACAUAAUUCUGAAGGUUGUCCUCCCAACUCAAGUGGCCGCAUCUUUGCCGCUGUCAUUCCCAAAUAUGGGGCCGCCCUUUGCAAGAUUGGUUGGUCAGACAAUGGAUGGAUGUUGUAUGGCAUCACCCUCUUAGAGGACAUGAUCCAAUUGGAGAUAGGUGUGAACAAUGGCAAACCGCACCGUCUGUUGAUACGAAUGUGUAUCCACUAUACAAUAUACCAGAACAAUAUCAUUGAGCUUCCCGGUGAACUGAUGGUAGAGUACGCUCAUAAUUGGAAGGAGGUAACAAACUUGGGUGACUAUGCCUUGUUAUUAGGGAAAACAUGGGCCAAGAUGUUGAAUGUGCCGAUAGCUAGGCGUGGCAUGAUGCACAGUAGCUACAUCUACACCGAUGAUUCGGUCUACUUAAUGAGUUUGAGUGACCAUGUGUAUAAGGCAUUAAGGUCAUCUUUUACUAUAAAUAGAAAAAGGUUUAUAAACAACUGGAUGAUCCCAUGCAAUUACUGCUACCUCUCCCAACAAUCACACUGCAAGCUCCCUGUCGCUGACCACCACCGCCGUUGCCACACAGCCCACCCCAAAAUUAACCAUGCUGCUCUUGCAGGGAUGGCGACGUUUUUCUGUGAAAGCAACAUCCAUGGAGAUCAGACAGCUAGGCGAGCGCUGUGUGCUGCAGUGGGGCAUCCGAGCAUGGCCGCCGGCGCUGCAAUAGAGCAUUACAUGCGCUGCCGGUGCUGUGUUGCAACAUUGCUAGCCCUGCGGCGACGACCGCUGCCUCGAAGCUAUUACCGCACCGUCGUCACUGCUAUGGAGCUUCAUCGAUGCUACAACAACGACCGCAACGGGACAUCCAUGGCGCUGCAACUCCGGCGUUACAAUGGAGCUUCGUCGGCGCUGCAAUGGAGCUCCGUCGGGCUGCCUUGGAGCUUUUGCCGCACCGCUGACAAUUUAAUGGAGCUUCGCCGUUCUUCUCGUCGGUUCAUCUGUCUAAUCGUCUUCCCCCUCUCGUCUGCCGCCGCUGGCUAUCGUCGCUGCGCGCGCCGCGGCCGCACGGCAGUCCGGCAGCCUGGCCAUCCGGCAUCCGGGAAGGCCGCAAGUACGCUACUUGGCCGACUGCAAGUCUGCAACGCCGUGAGCACACCACAGAAUCAUGCAUAUUCGAGUAUUAUUCAACUACUCAUCCAUGUACGUCUAGGAUUCCAAUCGUCUGAUAUUUUAAUUGAGAAGGGACCUAUUAGACUACCAGAUCUGGAGUUCAAGAAGGACGCCAUUGUCAGUCGAAAAUUUUGGUUCUUACUUAAGAACACAAGGGCAUUGUGCUUGCUUGCUCUUAUUGUCAUUUCCAGCACUUUCUUGUCUUGCCAUGCAGAAGGUACAAUGGACCUUGGACCUAUUCUUGGGUGUGUAAAGAUGAAAAAAGCUUGCUCAGUUAAUGGGUGCUUGUGGCAAUGUGCCUCUCAUGGUUGGAAUCCCCAGAGAUGCAUUUGUACCGAUGUUGGCCAUUGUUGUCACUACGCGGAGGCAAUGACACCAAAUUGA
Molecule: ribosomal RNA, 2064 nt
Filed under: Triticum aestivum (bread wheat)
Lineage: Eukaryota; Viridiplantae; Streptophyta; Magnoliopsida; Poales; Poaceae
Description: partial small subunit ribosomal RNA
Source: RNAcentral